GGGUUGUGAGGUUAAGCGACUAAGCGUACACGGUGGAUGCCCUGGCAGUCAGAGGCGAUGAAGGACGUGCUAAUCUGCGAUAAGCGUCGGUAAGGUGAUAUGAACCGUUAUAACCGGCGAUUUCCGAAUGGGGAAACCCAGUGUGUUUCGACACACUAUCAUUAACUGAAUCCAUAGGUUAAUGAGGCGAACCGGGGGAACUGAAACAUCUAAGUACCCCGAGGAAAAGAAAUCAACCGAGAUUCCCCCAGUAGCGGCGAGCGAACGGGGAGCAGCCCAGAGCCUGAAUCAGUGUGUGUGUUAGUGGAAGCGUCUGGAAAGGCGCGCGAUACAGGGUGACAGCCCCGUACACAAAAAUGCACAUGCUGUGAGCUCGAUGAGUAGGGCGGGACACGUGGUAUCCUGUCUGAAUAUGGGGGGACCAUCCUCCAAGGCUAAAUACUCCUGACUGACCGAUAGUGAACCAGUACCGUGAGGGAAAGGCGAAAAGAACCCCGGCGAGGGGAGUGAAAAAGAACCUGAAACCGUGUACGUACAAGCAGUGGGAGCCUCUUUUAUGGGGUGACUGCGUACCUUUUGUAUAAUGGGUCAGCGACUUAUAUUCUGUAGCAAGGUUAACCGAAUAGGGGAGCCGAAGGGAAACCGAGUCUUAACUGGGCGUUAAGUUGCAGGGUAUAGACCCGAAACCCGGUGAUCUAGCCAUGGGCAGGUUGAAGGUUGGGUAACACUAACUGGAGGACCGAACCGACUAAUGUUGAAAAAUUAGCGGAUGACUUGUGGCUGGGGGUGAAAGGCCAAUCAAACCGGGAGAUAGCUGGUUCUCCCCGAAAGCUAUUUAGGUAGCGCCUCGUGAAUUCAUCUCCGGGGGUAGAGCACUGUUUCGGCAAGGGGGUCAUCCCGACUUACCAACCCGAUGCAAACUGCGAAUACCGGAGAAUGUUAUCACGGGAGACACACGGCGGGUGCUAACGUCCGUCGUGAAGAGGGAAACAACCCAGACCGCCAGCUAAGGUCCCAAAGUCAUGGUUAAGUGGGAAACGAUGUGGGAAGGCCCAGACAGCCAGGAUGUUGGCUUAGAAGCAGCCAUCAUUUAAAGAAAGCGUAAUAGCUCACUGGUCGAGUCGGCCUGCGCGGAAGAUGUAACGGGGCUAAACCAUGCACCGAAGCUGCGGCAGCGACGCUUAUGCGUUGUUGGGUAGGGGAGCGUUCUGUAAGCCUGUGAAGGUGUGCUGUGAGGCAUGCUGGAGGUAUCAGAAGUGCGAAUGCUGACAUAAGUAACGAUAAAGCGGGUGAAAAGCCCGCUCGCCGGAAGACCAAGGGUUCCUGUCCAACGUUAAUCGGGGCAGGGUGAGUCGACCCCUAAGGCGAGGCCGAAAGGCGUAGUCGAUGGGAAACAGGUUAAUAUUCCUGUACUUGGUGUUACUGCGAAGGGGGGACGGAGAAGGCUAUGUUGGCCGGGCGACGGUUGUCCCGGUUUAAGCGUGUAGGCUGGUUUUCCAGGCAAAUCCGGAAAAUCAAGGCUGAGGCGUGAUGACGAGGCACUACGGUGCUGAAGCAACAAAUGCCCUGCUUCCAGGAAAAGCCUCUAAGCAUCAGGUAACAUCAAAUCGUACCCCAAACCGACACAGGUGGUCAGGUAGAGAAUACCAAGGCGCUUGAGAGAACUCGGGUGAAGGAACUAGGCAAAAUGGUGCCGUAACUUCGGGAGAAGGCACGCUGAUAUGUAGGUGAAGUCCCUCGCGGAUGGAGCUGAAAUCAGUCGAAGAUACCAGCUGGCUGCAACUGUUUAUUAAAAACACAGCACUGUGCAAACACGAAAGUGGACGUAUACGGUGUGACGCCUGCCCGGUGCCGGAAGGUUAAUUGAUGGGGUCAGCGCAAGCGAAGCUCUUGAUCGAAGCCCCGGUAAACGGCGGCCGUAACUAUAACGGUCCUAAGGUAGCGAAAUUCCUUGUCGGGUAAGUUCCGACCUGCACGAAUGGCGUAAUGAUGGCCAGGCUGUCUCCACCCGAGACUCAGUGAAAUUGAACUCGCUGUGAAGAUGCAGUGUACCCGCGGCAAGACGGAAAGACCCCGUGAACCUUUACUAUAGCUUGACACUGAACAUUGAGCCUUGAUGUGUAGGAUAGGUGGGAGGCUUUGAAGUGUGGACGCCAGUCUGCAUGGAGCCGACCUUGAAAUACCACCCUUUAAUGUUUGAUGUUCUAACGUUGACCCGUAAUCCGGGUUGCGGACAGUGUCUGGUGGGUAGUUUGACUGGGGCGGUCUCCUCCUAAAGAGUAACGGAGGAGCACGAAGGUUGGCUAAUCCUGGUCGGACAUCAGGAGGUUAGUGCAAUGGCAUAAGCCAGCUUGACUGCGAGCGUGACGGCGCGAGCAGGUGCGAAAGCAGGUCAUAGUGAUCCGGUGGUUCUGAAUGGAAGGGCCAUCGCUCAACGGAUAAAAGGUACUCCGGGGAUAACAGGCUGAUACCGCCCAAGAGUUCAUAUCGACGGCGGUGUUUGGCACCUCGAUGUCGGCUCAUCACAUCCUGGGGCUGAAGUAGGUCCCAAGGGUAUGGCUGUUCGCCAUUUAAAGUGGUACGCGAGCUGGGUUUAGAACGUCGUGAGACAGUUCGGUCCCUAUCUGCCGUGGGCGCUGGAGAACUGAGGGGGGCUGCUCCUAGUACGAGAGGACCGGAGUGGACGCAUCACUGGUGUUCGGGUUGUCAUGCCAAUGGCACUGCCCGGUAGCUAAAUGCGGAAGAGAUAAGUGCUGAAAGCAUCUAAGCACGAAACUUGCCCCGAGAUGAGUUCUCCCUGACUCCUUGAGAGUCCUGAAGGAACGUUGAAGACGACGACGUUGAUAGGCCGGGUGUGUAAGCGCAGCGAUGCGUUGAGCUAACCGGUACUAAUGAACCGUGAGGCUUAACCUUACAACGCCGAAG
This 2925-nucleotide ribosomal RNA is filed under the name Escherichia coli. Its description in RNAcentral is "partial 23S ribosomal RNA". It matches the Rfam family "Bacterial large subunit ribosomal RNA". The record is from RNAcentral. Lineage: Bacteria; Pseudomonadati; Pseudomonadota; Gammaproteobacteria; Enterobacterales; Enterobacteriaceae.